UACGUAGGGGGCAAGCGUUGUCCGGAUUUAUUGGGCGUAAAGGGCGCGUAGGCGGCCUGAUAAGUAGGGGGUGAAAUCUUGCGGCUCAACCGCAAGGCUGCCUUCUAAACUGUCAGGCUGGAGCACGGUAGAGGCAGAUGGAAUUCCCGGUGUAGCGGUGGAAUGCGUAGAGAUCGGGAAGAACACCAGUGGCGAAGGCGGUCUGCUGGGCCGUUGCUGACGCUGAGGCGCGACAGCGUGGGGAGCAAACAGG
Molecule: ribosomal RNA, 253 nt
Filed under: uncultured bacterium
Lineage: Bacteria
Description: partial 16S ribosomal RNA
Rfam family: Bacterial small subunit ribosomal RNA
Source: RNAcentral